GGUGAUCGCCGGCCGGCCGGUUAACUCCGGCUGACGAGAGGAAAGUCCGGGCUCCAAAGGGCAGGGUGCUGGGUAACGCCCAGUGAGGGUGACCUCAAGGACAGUGCCACAGAAAGCAAACCGCCUCGCGCAGACGAGGUAAGGGUGAAACGGUGAGGUAAGAGCUCACCAGUCUUCCGGGUGACCGGAAGAGCUAGGUAAACCCCACCCGGAGCAAGACCGAAUAGGGGAGUGUUUGAGGGCGGCCCGUCCGAGACUCCCGGGUUGGUUGCUUGAGGCGUCGGGUAACCGCCGCCCUAGAGGAAUGAUCGCCAUCCCCCGCGGGGUAACCGGCGGGGGAAACAGAACCCGG
This 352-nucleotide RNase P RNA is filed under the name Deltaproteobacteria bacterium. Its description in RNAcentral is "RNase P RNA component class A". It matches the Rfam family "Bacterial RNase P class A". Rfam says of the family: Ribonuclease P (RNase P) is a ubiquitous endoribonuclease, found in archaea, bacteria and eukarya as well as chloroplasts and mitochondria. Its best characterised activity is the generation of mature 5'-ends of tRNAs by cleaving the 5'-leader elements of precursor-tRNAs. Cellular RNase Ps are ribonucleoproteins. Lineage: Bacteria; Pseudomonadati; Myxococcota; Myxococcia. The record is from RNAcentral.